This 253-nucleotide ribosomal RNA is filed under the name uncultured bacterium. RNAcentral describes it as "partial 16S ribosomal RNA". It matches the Rfam family "Bacterial small subunit ribosomal RNA", at positions 524 to 776 of the family's 1533-position model. The record is from RNAcentral.
UACGAGAGGCCCAAACGUUAUUCGGAUUUACUGGGCUUAAAGAGUUCGUAGGCGGCGCGGAAAGUGGGGUGUGAAAGCCCUCGGCUCAACCGAGGAAUUGCGCUUCAAACUUCCGUGCUAGAGGAACCUAGAGGUGAGCAGAACUGAUGGUGGAGCGGUGAAAUGCGUUGAUAUCAUCAGGAAUACCGGAGGCGAAGGCGGCUCACUGGGGGUUUUCUGACGCUGAGGAACGAAAGCCAGGGGAGCGAACGGG